UACACAAACGUUUCUGUCUUGAGAAAGGAUAAGAAACUGUUUGCAGCUGUUUGUUCGAACCAACUUUAUUUAAAAUAGCUCAAGGGGACACAAGAAGAUAAAUCCCAGCAGGGAUCCGUGUGUAAAAAGGCACACAAAAGGUGCACAGGGGAAUAACUAAGAUCUAGAGAGAGUGGAGCCAUGAGUCUAAAUGACUUUGUGGUGAUUUCCAACAAGCCCAAGUCAGUCAAGCUCAAUGCCAGGAACCUGCGAGAGCUGCGCAUGGAGACAGUGACGCUGGCCCAGGAGAGUAAAGACAUGGAGGAUCGACUGCAACAACUCAGAGAGAGCAUGAGCCGGGAGAAAGAGGAG
This is a long non-coding RNA of Salvelinus sp. IW2-2015, 351 nucleotides long. RefSeq lists it as uncharacterized. Lineage: Eukaryota; Metazoa; Chordata; Actinopteri; Salmoniformes; Salmonidae. The record is from RefSeq and is a predicted model, not a curated record.